UCGGAAGGUGCGGCUGGAUCACUCCUUUCUAAGGAGAAUUGCCUACUGUUUAAUUUUGAAAGUUCUUUACGAACUUUAUAUAUGGGGGUGUAGCUCAGUUGGGAGAGCACUUGCCUUGCAAGCAAGGGGUCAGGAGUUCGACUCUCCUCAUCUCCACCAUUUAAGAGUAUAUUACUUAAAUCUUUGAUUUACUUAGUAGCCUCUUACAAUGCACUUAUAGCUUAAAUUUAUACAGGCUUUGUGCGUUAGCACUUUAAGCAACGGGAUUUAUCCGUUGGCGCUGUGCGUUAGCACUUUGAAAACUGCAUAUAUAUAUUUAGUGAUAUGACAUCUAAUUUGUAAUAUAUAAAGCUGAUAACUUUUUAAAAUUAUCGAAGUUGAUAGCUUCUAAUCUAUCAAACCUUUUUAACU
RNAcentral lists this transfer RNA (411 nucleotides) under Clostridioides difficile. RNAcentral's name for it is "partial 16S-23S ribosomal RNA intergenic spacer". The stretch from base 84 to 156 matches the Rfam family "tRNA". The record is from RNAcentral. Lineage: Bacteria; Bacillati; Bacillota; Clostridia; Peptostreptococcales; Peptostreptococcaceae.